GAAAUGCGAUAACUAAUGUGAAUUGCAGAAUUCAGUGAAUCAUCGAGUCUUUGAACGCACAUUGCGCCUCCUGGUAUUCCGGGAGGCAUGCCUGUUCGAGCGUCAUUAAAAUCACUCAAGCUUAGGUUUACCUAUUGCUUGGUCUUGGAGAUGGAAGCCAAUUUAUUGGAAUCCUCUUCGAAAUUCAAUGGCGAAGACCCUUGCUCUCCCAAGUGUAGUAAUAACUUAUGUCACUGAAGGAAGCGAGAAAUCUUCUGCCGUAACCCCCAUAUUUUCUAUGAUUGACCUCGGAUCAGGUAGGGAUACCCGCUGAACUUAA
Molecule: unclassified non-coding RNA, 319 nt
Filed under: uncultured Ascomycota
Lineage: Eukaryota; Fungi; Ascomycota
Description: sequence contains ITS1
Rfam family: 5.8S ribosomal RNA (bases 1-105)
Source: RNAcentral